This 253-nucleotide ribosomal RNA is filed under the name uncultured bacterium. Its description in RNAcentral is "partial 16S ribosomal RNA". It matches the Rfam family "Bacterial small subunit ribosomal RNA", at positions 524 to 776 of the family's 1533-position model. The record is from RNAcentral.
UACGGAGGGUGCAAGCGUUAUCCGGAUUCACUGGGUUUAAAGGGUGCGUAGGUGGGCAGGUAAGUCAGUGGUGAAAUCUUUGGGCUUAACCCGAAAACUGCCAUUGAUACUAUUUGUCUUGAAUAUUGUGGAGGUCAGCGGAAUAUGUCAUGUAGCGGUGAAAUGCUUAGAGAUGACAUAGAACACCAAUUGCGAAGGCAGCUGGCUACACAUAUAUUGACACUGAUGCACGAAAGCGUGGGGAUCAAACAGG